ACAGAAAUAAUAGCAUACAUUCGGACAAACCGCAAUAGUGAAAAUGAACGUAAUAUAGGGAAUUAAAUGAAAUACAAAGAGUAAUUCACUUUCUUUUCUUUUGACUGCUAAUGGUCUUACUGAGAACAUCAUUUACAUAUUCCAGCAAAUAUGCACUUUCUUUUCUGAUGUUGGAGAUUUUUACCACAGUGAUCGAAAUAAAACACAUUAAACGGUCAAUACCCAACGGAAAAUCUGAUAAAUGGAGAAACUUUAAACUCUAAGGCAGAUUAGUCUGAGAAUAAUGAGACUGAAAAUGUAUUUAAGUGUAAAGAUACAUUUUUGACGACAUCGUGGAAGAGCAUCAAUUAAAAUAAAUCGCUGUAGUCGACUCUAGUACGAAUUUCGAUGUAUGACCACCGGGAAUCCUGCCCAUUGAAUUAGCGUGCAAUGUGACUGAGUAUUCCACAGACACUGUAAGAAAGUUUUGCUCUGAGCAAUUGGAACAGAAGCACAAAUCUAUUUAUCUGUCUUAGACUGAAAAUAGGAACAAUAAAACUGAGUGAGUAUUAGACAGUUAGAAAGAGAUGUAGAGUAGCAAAAUUGAAAGAGAGAUUAGAGAGAAAACUGAUAAAUAGUAAAGUGUGCUUCCAACCAUCCAUCUACCCAUUCAUCUAUGCAUCCAUCUAUCUAUCCAACAAGCCAGCCAGCCAACCAUCCAACAUACCAGCCAACCAACAGUCCACCAUUUUAUCUUUGAAAAUGAGCAGCGACAAAACAAAUUAUUGACGUGGAAGGUCCAAAGAAACGUGUAGCACAAAACGGGUUCAAACAUUUCAAGGAAGAAGACACCAACUCUGAAAACACACCAAAGAAGAUGAAGCCUUGUUUGAAAUGGUUGAACAACAGCCAAGCACAACCACACGCACAUUGUUGGUAGAUCUUGGUCUUUCACAAAGCACCAUCAAUCCAUAGCCAUAAACUCGGCCUUGCGGACAGAGGCUGUCAAAAAGCUCCUCAGGAACAAACCUAUGACCAGGAUCAACGACGUGUGAGCACUUGCAAAAAAAUGCUUGCAAAUCCUCGAAGUGCCCGUUUUUUUGGCGUCUAAUUGUAACUGGAAAGAAAAAAAUGGAUCUAAUUUCACAAUAAAAGAAUUCAGUGGUUUCGUUCCAGACAGGUUAUCAAACAAACAAUGUCAGGUUGAACAGUAGGUCAUCUGUAUUUGGCGGAAUUUCGAAGGGUUGUUGCCAUUUGAGUUUGUCCCAUAUGGUGAUGCUGUGAACGCUCACUUUUAUUCUCAACGACUGCAGCGAGUAUAUGAUGCUUUGAAAGCUCAUUACAUGGCAUUGGUGAAUCGAAGAUGCGCACUCCCACUGCAUGACGUCGACACAGCACACACUGCUAAUGUUACUAAGUGCAAACUUGGAGAAAUUGAGGGCCUAGAAUUGCUGCCUCACCUUGCCUAUGUUCAGACGUUUCUCCAACAGAUUACAACUUUUCCGUGCUAUGGCUCAUUUCCGUGCUAUGGCUCAUUUCCUGCACGGCCUAUUGUUCAUCAAUGUGGAUGAGGAUGAAAACAGGCGCAGGGGAUCUUUUGUCUCUAAACCGGCCAAAUAAUAUAAGCGUGGAAUUGAGCUUCUGGGACAACGGAGGCAACAGACAAUAUAAUAUGAUGGUAUACAUUGUGAUAA
Octopus bimaculoides (California two-spot octopus) is the source of this 1673-nucleotide long non-coding RNA. RefSeq lists it as uncharacterized. NCBI's taxonomy places the organism in Eukaryota, Metazoa, Mollusca, Cephalopoda, Octopoda, Octopodidae. The record is from RefSeq and is a predicted model, not a curated record.